CAGUCGCCGCGGUAAUACGAAGGGUGCAAGCGUUAAUCGGAAUUACUGGGCGUAAAGCGUGCGUAGGCGGUGAGUUAAGUCUGCUGUGAAAUCCCCGGGCUCAACCUGGGAAUGGCAGUGGAUACUGGCUCGCUAGAGUGUAUCAGAGGAUGGUGGAAUUCCCGGUGUAGCGGUGAAAUGCGUAGAGAUCGGGAGGAACAUCAGUGGCGAAGGCGGCCAUCUGGGACAACACUGACGCUGAGGCACGAAAGCGUGGGGAGCAAACAGGAUUAGAUACCCCCGUAGUCCCUGUCUCUUAUAC
This 301-nucleotide ribosomal RNA is filed under the name uncultured bacterium. RNAcentral describes it as "partial 16S ribosomal RNA". It matches the Rfam family "Bacterial small subunit ribosomal RNA", at positions 509 to 807 of the family's 1533-position model. The record is from RNAcentral.